Molecule: ribosomal RNA, 253 nt
Filed under: uncultured bacterium
Lineage: Bacteria
Description: partial 16S ribosomal RNA
Rfam family: Bacterial small subunit ribosomal RNA
Source: RNAcentral
UACGGGGGGGGCAAGCGUUAUUCGGAAUUACUGGGCGUAAAGGGCUCGUAGGUGGCCAACUAAGUCAGACGUGAAAUCCCCAGGCUUAACCUGGGAACUGCGUCUGAUACUGGAUGGCUUGAAUUCGGGAGAGGGAUGCAGAAUUCCAGGUGUAGCGGUGAAAUGCGUAGAUAUCUGGAGGAACACCGGUGGCGAAGGCGGCGUUCUGGACAGUUCCUGACGCUGAGGCACGAAGGUCAGGGGAGCAAACGGG